Molecule: ribosomal RNA, 1346 nt
Filed under: uncultured bacterium
Lineage: Bacteria
Description: partial 16S ribosomal RNA
Rfam family: Bacterial small subunit ribosomal RNA
Source: RNAcentral
GACGAACGCUGGCGGCGUGCUUAACACAUGCAAGUCGAACGGAAAGGCCCUGCUUUUGUGGGGUGCUCGAGUGGCGAACGGGUGAGUAACACGUGAGUAACCUGCCCUUGACUUUGGGAUAACUUCAGGAAACUGGGGCUAAUACCGGAUAGGAGCUCCUGCUGCAUGGUGGGGGUUGGAAAGUUUCGGCGGUUGGGGAUGGACUCGCGGCUUAUCAGCUUGUUGGUGGGGUAGUGGCUUACCAAGGCUUUGACGGGUAGCCGGCCUGAGAGGGUGACCGGCCACAUUGGGACUGAGAUACGGCCCAGACUCCUACGGGAGGCAGCAGUGGGGAAUAUUGCACAAUGGGCGGAAGCCUGAUGCAGCAACGCCGCGUGCGGGAUGACGGCCUUCGGGUUGUAAACCGCUUUCGCCUGUGACGAAGCGUGAGUGACGGUAAUGGGUAAAGAAGCACCGGCUAACUACGUGCCAGCAGCCGCGGUGAUACGUAGGGUGCGAGCGUUGUCCGGAUUUAUUGGGCGUAAAGGGCUCGUAGGUGGUUGAUCGCGUCGGAAGUGUAAUCUUGGGGCUUAACCCUGAGCGUGCUUUCGAUACGGGUUGACUUGAGGAUUUUAGGGGAGAAUGGAAUUCCUGGUGGAGCGGUGGAAUGCGCAGAUAUCAGGAGGAACACCAGUGGCGAAGGCGGUUCUCUGGGCCUUUCCUGACGCUGAGGAGCGAAAGCGUGGGGAGCGAACAGGCUUAGAUACCCUGGUAGUCCACGCUGUAAACGGUGGGUACUAGGUGUGGGGUCCAUUCCACGGGUUCCGUGCCGUAGCUAACGCUUUAAGUACCCCGCCUGGGGAGUACGGCCGCAAGGCUAAAACUCAAAGGAAUUGACGGGGCCCCGCACAAGCGGCGGAGCAUGCGGAUUAAUUCGAUGCAACGCGUAGAACCUUACCUGGGUUUGACAUGGAUCGGGAGUGCUCAGAGAUGGGUGUGCCUCUUUUGGGGUCGGUUCACAGGUGGUGCAUGGCUGUCGUCAGCUCGUGUCGUGAGAUGUUGGGUUAAGUCCCGCAACGAGCGCAACCCUUGUUCACUGUUGCCAGCACGUUAUGGUGGGGACUCAGUGGAGACCGCCGGGGUCAACUCGGAGGAAGGUGGAGAUGACGUCAAGUCAUCAUGCCCCUUAUGUCCAGGGCUUCACGCAUGCUACAAUGGCUGGUACAGAGAGUGGCGAGCCUGUGAGGGUGAGCGAAUCUCGGAAAGCCGGUCUCAGUUCGGAUUGGGGUCUGCAACUCGACCUCAUGAAGUCGGAGUCGCUAGUAAUCGCAGAUCAGCAACGCUGCGGUGAAUACGUUCCCGGGGCU